AGUGAACGCUGGCGGUAGGCCUAACACAUGCAAGUCGAACGGCAGCACAGUAAGAGCUUGCUCUUACGGGUGGCGAGUGGCGGACGGGUGAGGACUACAUCGGAAUCUACUUUUUCGUGGGGGCUAACGUAGGGAAACUUACGCUAAUACCGCAUACGACCUGCGGGUGAAAGCAGGGGAUCUUCGGACCUUGCGCGAUUGAAUGAGCCGAUGUCGGAUUAGCUAGUUGGCGGGGUAAAGGCCCACCAAGGCGACGAUCCGUAGCUGGUCUGAGAGGAUGAUCAGCCACACUGGAACUGAGACACGGUCCAGACUCCUACGGGAGGCAGCAGUGGGGAAUAUUGGACAAUGGGCGCAAGCCUGAUCCAGCCAUACCGCGUGGGUGAAGAAGGCCUUCGGGUUGUAAAGCCCUUUUGUUGGGAAAGAAAAGCAGCAGGUUAAUACCCCGCUGUUCUGACGGUACCCAAAGAAUAAGCACCGGCUAACUUCGUG
Molecule: ribosomal RNA, 492 nt
Filed under: uncultured bacterium
Lineage: Bacteria
Description: partial 16S ribosomal RNA
Rfam family: Bacterial small subunit ribosomal RNA
Source: RNAcentral